RNAcentral lists this ribosomal RNA (406 nucleotides) under uncultured bacterium. RNAcentral describes it as "partial 16S ribosomal RNA". It matches the Rfam family "Bacterial small subunit ribosomal RNA", at positions 29 to 526 of the family's 1533-position model. The record is from RNAcentral.
AUUGAACGCUGGCGGCAGGCUUAACACAUGCAAGUCGAGCGAGCGGCGGACGGGUGAGUAAUGUCUGGGAAACUGCCUGAUGGAGGGGGAUAACUACUGGAAACGGUAGCUAAUACCGCAUACCAUCAGAUGUGCCCAGAUGGGAUUAGCUAGUAGGUGGGGUAAUGGCUCACCUAGGCGACGAUCCCUAGCUGGUCUGAGAGGAUGACCAGCCACACGGGAACGGGGAAACGGUCCAGCCUCCUACGGGAGGCAGAAGUGGGGAAUAUGGCAAAAGGGGCGCAAGCAUGAUGCAGCCAGGCGGCGUGUGUGAAGAAGGCCUUCGGGUUGUAAAGAACGUUCAGCGAGGAGGCGUUACUCGCAGAAGAAGCACCGGCUAACUCCGUGCCAGCAGCCGCGGUAAUUC